Molecule: ribosomal RNA, 835 nt
Filed under: uncultured organism
Description: SSU rRNA
Rfam family: Bacterial small subunit ribosomal RNA
Source: RNAcentral
ACAGGCUUAACACAUGCAAGUCGAGGGGCAGCAUGGUCUUAGCUUGCUAAGGCCGAUGGCGACCGGCGCACGGGUGAGUAACACGUAUCCAACCUGCCGUCUACUCUUGGACAGCCUUCUGAAAGGAAGAUUAAUACAAGAUGGCAUCAUGAGUUCACAUGUUCACAUGAUUAAAGGUAUUCCGGUAGACGAUGGGGAUGCGUUCCAUUAGAUAGUAGGCGGGGUAACGGCCCACCUAGUCUUCGAUGGAUAGGGGUUCUGAGAGGAAGGUCCCCCACAUUGGAACUGAGACACGGUCCAAACUCCUACGGGAGGCAGCAGUGAGGAAUAUUGGUCAAUGGGCGCAGGCCUGAACCAGCCAAGUAGCGUGAAGGAUGACUGCCCUAUGGGUUGUAAACUUCUUUUAUAAAGGAAUAAAGUCGGGUAUGUAUACCCGUUUGCAUGUACUUUAUGAAUAAGGAUCGGCUAACUCCGUGCCAGCAGCCGCGGUAAUACGGAGGAUCCGAGCGUUAUCCGGAUUUAUUGGGUUUAAAGGGAGCGUAGAUGGAUGUUUAAGUCAGUUGUGAAAGUUUGCGGCUCAACCGUAAAAUUGCAGUUGAUACUGGAUAUCUUGAGUGCAGUUGAGGCAGGCGGAAUUCGUGGUGUAUCGGUGAAAUGCUUAGAUAUCACGAAGAACUCCGAUUGCGAAGGCAGCCUGCUAAGCUGCAACUGACAUUGAGGCUCGAAAGUGUGGGUAUCAAACAGGAUUAGAUACCCUGAUAUUCCACACGGUACACGAUGAAUACUCGCUGUUUGCGAUAUACGGCAAGCGGCCAAGCGAAAGCGUUAAGUAUUC